GCGCGACAACGUUAGUCAAAUUAAAAUGGUGUUCUUUUGAACAUUUCUUUCUUGUAUUCGUCUCGAUUUACUUAUUACGUUUUUAGAGUCUUUUGAGUUGCUUGCGUUCGUGCGUCUAUCGAACGUGUACCACGAAAUUCCUUGAACAAAAAAAUCUCUGACGUGAGGAAGGCAACAGCGACAGUUGUCGUGCAUAUUAUGCGUAUGCAUAUUUAUAUCACAGUACAAAAAUACUGUGAGAAAAUAUAGUAUAAUAAAUAUUCUUAAUAGGAAAGAAAAGGUUUCCUUUCUCACGUUUACAAUGUGUUUUUUUUUCUUUUUUUUUUUCAUUUUUUGUUGGUUAUUCGUUAGCAACUCUUUUCCUAUUAUCAGACAAUUUCUUACAACGACAAAGUAGAGUAAUUCGAGUGUGAGUGGAAUCACGCGCCAUUAACCUGACAACCGGGCGAUUUCUAUAAAUCCAAGAAUGAUUACGCCUCUCGAAUGCAUAAUCCACCACUGCCACUGCAUCUCGAAAUGAGCGGAAACAUUUCGAAACGAAAAGGGAGGGAAAAGAAGAGAGAAAGUUACGACGACUUCAUAUCUGUAUAACGUAAAAAGCCGUACUCUCUUUACGGUUACGCCAAGGUUUCAACUUAUCAAGGAAGUUAAAAUGAAAAAUCGCGAUAAUUACAACUUGCCGGGCGACCGCAGUGUAACGCUAAUUACGAUCAAUCGGAUUGUUGCUUGAGGCUUUCGAAAUUCCGGAAGUGACGUAGAAACAAGGGGAACGACGCUAGUUUACUGCGGACAGAACAGCGGCGCUUUGGAAUCGUGAAAGAAAGAAUCAAGAGGCGCAGCACGUGCUAAUCGUCGACUUUAUAUGAAGAAAGAUGAAUUCGAUACAUAGGAAAAGUCGGAGCCACUGUCGAUGUUCUCGUCGCUUUCGUUUUCUUUUGUCGAUCAAUGGAAAUUGAGUUUUCGUGUUGCAUGCUCGCGCAGAGUCUUGCUUCGUUCUGAUCCGCGUGACAAAACGUUUUUCCUCUCCGUCGAGCUAACUCAUUCUCCGUAAUCGAUGCCAUCUCUUCCGAUCUAGCGAAGAGUCUUUCGGCGUUUUAAUAUCUUUCUAACAGCAACGAUUAUAUCCGUGUUUAUGUAUUUAUACUGCGGGAUAAAAUUAAUUGUUCACCUUGUGUGAUUGUUUACGCGUCCCAAAACCACCCGGUUAACAAAUUGUAAGAUUUUUUAAUUAUAAGAUCGACACUUCUCCGAAAGGUUCCCUGUGAAUUUCUCAGGCAAUUCGUGUUAAGGCAGUUAGUAUAUUAUCUUUUUUUUUGUUCCUUUUUUGUUUAGUGGCUUUUUUCAAGUUUUCUUUUCUUCUUUUCUCGCAGUGUUAAUUGUUAAUUCACGAAUCGCAAAGUACACGGGAAUACGAUUAAUAAGGGAUCAGACAGAAAUUCAACGAAAGAUCCAGGAGGGUGAGAAAGAGAGAUAUAUAUAUGUAUAUAUAGAAAGAGAGAGAGAGAGAGAGAGAGAGAGAGAGAGAGAGAAACGAAACGUUUCGUCUUUUAACACCUUUGGUUAUUCGUAACGUUAAUAUAAUUAUAAAUUCGAUUCCGAAUUUGAACGUUCAAAAAAGCCGGAACACGCGAGAGCAUGUAAAGACAAUUAAAAAAUAAUCAUAAUAAUGAAAAGUCACACGCUACAUACUUUAUAUAAUUUUUUAUCAGUUUAUAUGUAUAUGUAUAAGUGUGUAUAUAUAUAUAUAUAUGUAUAAUUUUACUUUGUUGUUUUCAUCAUCCACGUCUGGCAGAUACACCCACAAAAGAAAAAGUUAAAGCAACAUAAGAUGAGAAAUUAAUACAAAGAAAAAUUAAUUACAAAACGAAAUGUACACAAAUGGAUUAACGAGGAAACC
Non-coding RNA from Megalopta genalis, 1897 nucleotides. The record is from RefSeq and is a predicted model, not a curated record. NCBI's taxonomy places the organism in Eukaryota, Metazoa, Arthropoda, Insecta, Hymenoptera, Halictidae.